ACACUUCUGAACUCCAGCUGCAUUUUAGAAUUUAUUGUUUUAUUUCAAAACAAACAUUUGAAAUUCUACUACCUUUCACCCAUUGGAACAACCACCACAUUUACAGAUGGUGAGAGCUCUUCACAUGCAGGUUGUUUCAGUGUACCCAGUAUGGCAUUUUACAGAGGCA
This is a non-coding RNA of Pseudopodoces humilis (Tibetan ground-tit), 169 nucleotides long. The record is from RefSeq and is a predicted model, not a curated record. Lineage: Eukaryota; Metazoa; Chordata; Aves; Passeriformes; Paridae.